Topomyia yanbarensis is the source of this 784-nucleotide long non-coding RNA. RefSeq lists it as uncharacterized. The record is from RefSeq and is a predicted model, not a curated record. NCBI's taxonomy places the organism in Eukaryota, Metazoa, Arthropoda, Insecta, Diptera, Culicidae. The transcript has 4 exons.
AGCAUGCUGUAGGUUGCCACAACAGGAGAUUUGUUUUGUUUUUCGUCUAGAACUUGACAAUAUACAUUUUCUUAUAAAAGGUUUAAAAGUGAUUAGAAUUAACCGCUCAUCCCCGGAAAACAAUUGGGGAUUCUGAAUAGUUCCUCUAUUGGUAGCAUCUUAAUAGCACCAAUCGAUUUCAAAACACAAUCGGAAUCGAUUAUUGCUCUUGAGGUCGAACCCAUAGGAAAAUAUUUCAGAAUUCCGAAACGAUCACUGGAUGUUUUUUUUUAAAUUCGUUUAGAUCCGUGAGCAGUCAACACCGUAGCAAAGUUUAUUGCUGGGGCCCUAUUCUCACAGUCAUGUCACCUAGUGAUUAGAAUAAAAAAAAUGAAUUUUCUUCAAUAAUUAAUUAUCAAUGAUAGGACUGUGAGAAAGGAGCAUCUGGAAAGUUACGAUUAUUCACUUUUCUCAAGUCCAACGCUCUACCUGAUUUACACCAUUUUCCAAUGAAAUCUCAGGAAAGGCGACACAUCAUUCAAACAAAAGGGUCCUAAAUUCGUAACUGGUAUGUUUUUCAAUACCCUGGUGACUAUUUUACGUUCGUUACAGCGUCAACGAUUCGGUUUCAUAAAAUAAAGUGCACAAGACUUUUGGUGACAUAUGAGGUGAUCGAAGCAUCAAUGAGUGGUGGACAAUAUAAAUAAUGUACCGUUCUUAGAUCACGAAAUAUACAUGAACUCAUCCGAAUCAUCCCCAGAGUAUAGUUGUUCUCCUAAUUGCUAAUUAUAACUCCACAUAUUUA